UUUCACCCUUUUUCCGAUUUUAUUAUAUUUAUAGUCGUGUAGGGCAGAAUAAUCGAACAAUUUGCUUUCGUUUACGUUAAUUGUUAUAAUUUAAUUCUCGGUGUCUGCUGGCCAUAUUCCAUUGUUUAUAAGUUUUACUAAGGAUUGUGCAAGUAGAGGAGUCGAUUAAGCGUGCCAGGGAAGGCGUUUUGUUUAUUUGCGUGUCCAAUAUGAGGGUAUGG
RNAcentral lists this small RNA (221 nucleotides) under Drosophila mojavensis. RNAcentral describes it as "GI25930". Lineage: Eukaryota; Metazoa; Arthropoda; Insecta; Diptera; Drosophilidae. The record is from RNAcentral.